Oncorhynchus tshawytscha (Chinook salmon) is the source of this 2270-nucleotide long non-coding RNA. The record is from Ensembl. Lineage: Eukaryota; Metazoa; Chordata; Actinopteri; Salmoniformes; Salmonidae.
UAGAAACAGUACUGUAUAAUGUAAUAGAAUAGUUACAGGACUGUAUAAUGUAACAGAAUAGUACAGGACUGUAUAAUGUAAUAGAAUAGUACAGGACUGUAUAAUGUAAUAUAAUAGUACAGGACUGUAUAAUGUAAUAGAAUAGUACAGGACUGUAUAAUGUAACAGAAUAGUACAGGACUGUAUAAUGUAACAGAAUAGUACAGGACUGUAUAAUGUAAUAUAAUAGUACAGGACUGUAUAAUGUAAUAGAAUAGUACAGUACUGUAUAAUGUAAUAGAAUAGUACAGGACUGUAUAAUGUAAUAGAAUAGUACAGUACUGUAUAAUGUCAUAGAAUAGUAAAGGACUGUAUAAUGUAAUGGAAUAGUAAAGGACUGUACAAUGUAAUAUAAUAGUAUAAUGUAACAGAAUAGUACAGGACUGCAUAAGGUAAUAUAAUAGUACAGUACUGUAUAAUGUAAUAGAAUAGUACAGUACUGUAUAAUGUAAUAGAAUAGUACAGUACUGUAUAAUGUAAUAUAAUGUCCAGGAAACCGGCCCUAAAUGUGUCAUCUUUCAUCCUCCCAUACUGCUCAGUCCAGCAACAUUAAACCUGUCCAGCAGGUGGUGAUGUUGACCAAACAAUAAAACCAGCAGAUAUCUUGACUUGCCACUCAGUAUAUCAGUAAUGUUCAGAAUAGUACCUGUACAUUCUCUGAUUCCAUAAUGUAAUAGAAUAGUACAGUACUGUAUAAUAUAAUAUAAUAGUUCAGUACUGUAUAAUGUAAUAGAAUAGUUCAGUACUGUAGAAUGUAAUAGAAUAGUUUAGUACUGUAGAAUAUAACAGAAUGGUACUGUAGAGUAUAAGUAUUGUUCCUGUGAGCGAACAUCAAGAAGAAAUUAAAACAUAUAUUUAUAAUAUUCUCAGCCUUCAUAUAAAAUAUGACUGGACAUCGAGGCUGUUUCAGAAAUACAAUGUUAUUGUGUUCAGAUUCUGUUCCAUGUUACUUAAAACAUGAAUGGAAAAAUAUUUAACAUAAAAAUGAUUUACAAUGUUCCCCCUCUUUGAGAUGAUUCUGUAUUAUGAAAAGUGCUUGACAAAUGUAAUUUAUUAUUAUUAUUAUUAUUAUCUUAUUCAUCAUAGUUUAAAAGGCAAAACUGACUCUAGAUCAGCACUCCAACUAAGUGGGAAUACAGUAGUCCUGUGGCUCAGUUGGUAGAGUAUGGUGAAUGGGUCCCAAUGGGACCACCGGCAUGAAAGAUGUAUCCACACAUAAUAAGUCACUUUGGUUAAAAGUGUUUCUAAAUGGCAUAUCUUAUGAUAUAAUAAUAUCACUUAGUUGGACUAUACAGGUCCAGAUAUACAGGGUUUAUGUCAAACUUGUGUUCAGGUCCUCUUGGUUCUGGGUUUGUUGUGUUCAGGUCCUCUUGGUUCUGGGUUUGUUGAGUUCAGGUCCUCUUGGUUCUGGGUUUGUUGUGUUCAGGUCCUCUUGGUUCUGGGUUUGGUGUGUUCAGGUCUUCUUGGUUCUGGGUUUGUUGUGUUCAGGUCCUCUUGGUUCUGGGUUUGUUGUGUUCAGGUCCUCUUGGUUCUGGGUUUGUUGAGUUCAGGUCCUCUUGGUUCUGGGUUUGUUGUGUUCAGGUCCUCUUGGUUCUGGGUUUGUUGUGUUCAGGUACUCUUGGUUCUGGGUUUGGUGAGUUCAGGUCCUCUUGGUUCAGGGUUUGUUGUGUUCAGGUUCUCUUGGUUCUGGGUUUGUUGCGCUCAGGUCUUCUUGGUUCAGGGUUUGUUGUGUUCAGGUUCUCUUGGUUCUGGGUUUGGUGAGUUCAGGUCCUCUUGGUUCAGGGUUUGUUGUGUUCAGGUUCUCUUGGUUCUGGGUUUGUUGCGUUCAGGUCUUCUUGGUUCAGGGUUUGUUGUGUUCAGGUUCUCUUGGUUCUGGGUUUGUUGCGUUCAGGUCUUCUUGGUUCUGGGUUUGUUGCGUUCAGGUCUUUUUGGUUCUGGGUUUGUUGCGUUCAGGUCUUCUUGGUUCUGGGUUUGUUGCGUUCAGGUCUUCUUGGUUCUGGGUUUGUUGCGUUCAGGUCUUUUUGGUUCUGGGUUUGUUGUGUUCAGGUCUUCUGGGUUUGUUGACUCUACUAUAGAUCUCAGAAGAGUCCUCCUCAGCUGCUUGUGCUGCCGUGGGUCUGAAGAGAGAGAAACAGAAAUUUAACAGAAUCUGCAUCCCCCUAAAAAACCUUCAUAUACUCUUUUUAGUGCAUUACUUUGACCAAGGCCUAUAUGGCUCUGGUGAAAAGUAG